UGANGCCGCGANUAGCUCAUUACANUAGCCGUUGUUUCUUGGAUCCUCAAUUUACUUGGAUACCUGUGGUAAUUCUAGAGCUAAUACAUGCGACUAAGGGCCGAACUCACGUGACGCUUGCAUUUAUUAGAUCAAGACUAACCGGCUUCGGCCGUUAACUUGGUGACUCUGAAUAACUCAGCUGAUCGCACGGUCUAGUGCCGGCGACAUAUCUUUCAAGUGUCUACCUUAUCAACUGUCGAUGGUAGUUUAUGUGACUACCAUGGUUGUAACGGGUAACGGAGAAUCAGGGUUUGACUCCGGAGAGGGAGCCUGAGAAACGGCUACCACUUCUAAGGAAGGCAGCAGGCGCGCAAAUUACACAAUCUCAGCACGAGGAUGUAGUGACGAAACAUACCGAGGCGAUGCCCUUUCGGGUGUCGUCAUUGGAAUGAGUCGAAUCUAAAAAAUUCGGCAAGGAUCUAGUGGAGGGCAAGUCUGGUGCCAGCAGCCGCGGUAAUUCCAGCUCCGCAAGUGUAUAUCUAUGCUGUUGCGGUUAAAAAGCUCGUAGUUUGAUUCGCGUACUUAGCACGCAGUGUGGCCUUUCGGCUACUACUGUGAUGCGGUACAUUAUCGUCAGUUUGUCGUUGAUGCUCUUCAUUGGGUGUCAGCGGCGGCUGUCAAGUUUACUUUGAACAAAUUAAAGUGCUCAAUACAGGCGUUUCGCUUGUAUAGUUCUGCAUGGAAUAAUAGAAUAGGACUUACGUUCUAUUGUGUUGGUUUUCAGAACGAAAGUAAUGAUUAAGAGGGACAGACGGGGUCAUUCGUACUGCCACGUUAGAGGUGAAAUUCUUGGAUCGUGGCAAGACGAACUACUGCGAAAGCAUUUGACAAGAAUGUUUUCAUUAAUCAAGAACGAAAGUUAUGGGUUCG
This 912-nucleotide ribosomal RNA is filed under the name Halomonhystera disjuncta. RNAcentral's name for it is "SSU rRNA". It matches the Rfam family "Eukaryotic small subunit ribosomal RNA", at positions 82 to 1000 of the family's 1831-position model. The record is from RNAcentral. Lineage: Eukaryota; Metazoa; Nematoda; Chromadorea; Monhysterida; Monhysteridae.